UACGGGGGGGGCAAGCGUUGUUCGGAAUUACUGGGCGUAAAGCGCACGUAGGCGGCUUUGUAAGUUAGAGGUGAAAGCCCGGAGCUCAACUCCGGAAUUGCCUUUAAGACUGCAUCGCUUGAAUCCAGGAGAGGUGAGUGGAAUUCCGAGUGUAGAGGUGAAAUUCGUAGAUAUUCGGAAGAACACCAGUGGCGAAGGCGGCUCACUGGACUGGUAUUGACGCUGAGGUGCGAAAGCGUGGGGAGCAAACAGG
Molecule: ribosomal RNA, 253 nt
Filed under: uncultured bacterium
Lineage: Bacteria
Description: partial 16S ribosomal RNA
Rfam family: Bacterial small subunit ribosomal RNA
Source: RNAcentral